AAUACUACAAAGAAUGGGCUGAGUGUGGGCUGAAAUCGCAGUGCUUUGGGAGGCUGAGGUGGGAGGAUCACAUGAGCCGGGGAGGUCGAGGCUGCAGAGGUGGGAGGAUCACAUGAGCCUGGGAGGUCGAGGCUGCUGAGGUGGGAGGAUCACAUGAGCCGGGGAGGUCGAGGCUGCUGAGGUGGGAGGAUCACAUGAGCCGGGGAGGUCGAGGCUGCAGAGGUGGGAGGAUCACAUGAGCCGGGGAGGUCGAGGCUGCAGCGAGCUGUGGUUGCACCACUGCACUUCAGCCUGGGCCACAGAGUCAUACCUUGCCUCUAAGAAAA
This 326-nucleotide long non-coding RNA is filed under the name Homo sapiens (human). RNAcentral's name for it is "non-protein coding lnc-CAPN15-3:2". The record is from RNAcentral. Lineage: Eukaryota; Metazoa; Chordata; Mammalia; Primates; Hominidae.